CUUCCGGCGGGGCUGUAAACCUAAACAAAACAAAAAAAAGAAAAUUUUCAACGGUGGAUAUCUAGGUUCUCGUACCGAGGAAGAACGCAGCGAACUGCGAUAAGCAAUGCGAAUUGCAGAAUGCGAGUCAUUUGAUUUUCGAACGCAAUCGGCGACUGGAAGUAAAAUUCUAGUCAUGUGUGUCUCAGUGUCAACAAUAUUUCCAACCUUAAUGUGACUGAAUUUCGAUUCUUUCAUCAAAAAGGAGAGAUCUGCGUCUCUGCCCGACGAAGUAGUCACCCACUCCGGUGGAUGAUCUCGGCGGAACGAGAUGAGAGAGCUCAGAGCAAAACUCUUUAAAAAUCUGAUCUGAGAUAGGCAAGAUAACCCGCCCAACUUAAGCAUAUUAUUA
RNAcentral lists this ribosomal RNA (391 nucleotides) under Ephelota gemmipara. RNAcentral describes it as "eukaryotic LSU rRNA". The stretch from base 43 to 193 matches the Rfam family "5.8S ribosomal RNA". The record is from RNAcentral. Lineage: Eukaryota; Ciliophora; Phyllopharyngea; Exogenida; Ephelotidae.